RNAcentral lists this transfer RNA (66 nucleotides) under Chaetosoma scaritides. Its description in RNAcentral is "tRNA-Ile". The record is from RNAcentral. Lineage: Eukaryota; Metazoa; Arthropoda; Insecta; Coleoptera; Chaetosomatidae.
AAUAAGGUGCCUGAAAAAAAGGGCUAUUUUGAUAGAAUAGAUUAUGUAGUGCUCCUACCUUUAUUA